Molecule: ribosomal RNA, 394 nt
Filed under: uncultured Anaeromyxobacter sp.
Lineage: Bacteria; Pseudomonadati; Myxococcota; Myxococcia; Myxococcales; Anaeromyxobacteraceae
Description: bacterial SSU rRNA
Rfam family: Bacterial small subunit ribosomal RNA
Source: RNAcentral
CGAGAAAGCCCGCAAGGGUGAGUAAAGCGGCGCACGGGUGCGUAACACGUGGGUAAUCUGCCCUAGAGUCCGGAAUAACUCGCCGAAAGGCGUGCUAAUGCCGGAUGAGACCUCGGGAGCCUCGGCUCCUGCGGGAAAAGGUGGCCUCUGUAUACAAGCUAUCGCUCUGGGAUGAGCCCGCGGCCCAUCAGCUCGUUGGCGGGGUAAUGGCCCACCAAGGCUACGACGGGUAGCUGGUCUGAGAGGACGAUCAGCCACACUGGAACUGAGACACGGUCCAGACUCCUACGGGAGGCAGCAGUGGGGAAUCUUGCGCAAUGGGCGAAAGCCUGACGCAGCAACGCCGCGUGUGUGAUGAAGGUCUUCGGAUCGUAGAGCACUGUCGCGAGGGACG